Long non-coding RNA from Lates calcarifer (barramundi perch), 3228 nucleotides. RefSeq lists it as uncharacterized. The record is from RefSeq and is a predicted model, not a curated record. NCBI's taxonomy places the organism in Eukaryota, Metazoa, Chordata, Actinopteri, Centropomidae. The transcript has 4 exons.
UAGUCAGCUUGGUCCCCAACAGCACAUUAACUUUAUACUGUUUAUUCCACAGAUAUAUUUGUUCCACCAACUCCAGUCUCACAACUGUCUGCAAAUGUUUUAGCAGUUUGUACUCAGAAAAGUGGAUGUCGAAAAAUAUCUAAUAAGCUUCAAUAGCUUCCUCCAUUUUGGACUCCUUCACAGAGCUUGCUUCACAACACUGAGAGCCAAGGCCAUUCCUCCUGCCACAGGAGCCUUUCUUUGUCCAGGUCUUCCUGGACCUGGGUCAUCUUUUCCAUCAGGCUGAUGGUUUCCUGUUUUUUCUCAGCCAGGAGAUGGGUCCAGUCUUUCUCCCACUGGUAUCUGGACUUCCCAGGUUGAGUUCAGCCUGGACCAGAGCAUUUUCAAGUUUGGACAUUUCCUCAUCCCUUCUGGCAAGCUGGUACAGUCAAAGAAAUAACCUCAGUCUACUGCAGGAAAAGUCCAACCUGGUACUUGCAAGGUGUACCUAAUAAAGUGGCUGCAGCAGAGAGCAGCUGUAUUCACUGACAAACCUCUGAUUAACCCACUGCAUCCCACCUAUCCAACACCACAGUUGAUGGGAAAAAAAAGGCUAAGCCAUCCAGCUGAGGGGGUCUGCUGAUAAUUUUCCCUAAGAGAACUACUACGUAGGAAACCUUUUGCAUUCACUGUGGUCUAAAAAGGUAUUUCAGAACAAAAGUCAAUAGAGUGUCAGUAGCAGCAGAACAAUUGGAGAUGGAAAGACCACAUGAAAUGUUGUAUGCACACUGUAAGACGUGAAUUAUAAAUGAAAAACAACAUGUAUGUAUACUGUGAAAGUGAGGAAUAUAGCACAAAGAAAAAGUGGCAAGAUCACAUCAUUCUGUACAUAGUGUGCAUGCUGUUCUUGACAUUCAUAAUUCAUAACCAUGUGGUCUUAUGUGGCUCAAAAAGGACAGAGUGGCUGUCAUCCUGCCUGUGUGUGUUAUGAGUGAGUGAGUGUGUUGGGGUGGGUGGGGGCAGAGACUUAGAUUCCCACUGGAACCUCCUACACUAUAAAUAUAAGCACUCAUAGUGGUGAGAGGCAGUGUGUAUACAGUUAAAGGGUCUACCAAAUGGCAUACAGCAUGUUACAGUACUACAAAUGUAUAUAACUGUACAUUCACAUAUCCAUCCCUACUGACACUUUCUCCUGAUGACCUGCAGAACAGUGGUACUAACUGAUAUAUUCAUCCUCCGACUGGGGUUGUGAUUAUUUUUCAGUACAUCCAAGGCCAGUACAGUAAACUUAGACUCCCCCAGCACUUUAUUAGGAACACUGUACUAAUUGGAGGCUGAGGUGGUAAAUUAGUAUUUGUGAAGAGUGAUGUGAGAGUAGCUUUGACAAUGUAGCAAAGCAAAAACGUUGCAGAUGCUGGAUGGGAAGAGCAGCAGAGAAAAAAAAAAUAAUAAUGGUAGAAACACACCAAAAUACAAAAUACUGUAUGACAGAAAAGAUCUUCCUCAAUGAACCUCUGCCAGCAAGUCAAAGGUAUUACUGGUGACAUCAUGUCUCCUAGCAGCAUGAACAUACACAUAAAGUUAUGUAAUAAACACACAGAAUUAACAGACACGGUCAAGUACAUAAUCACAAUUUACACUUUAGUUCAUACUGUGAUUCUAAGUCACACAUUGCUUUUUGCACAUUUGCAUUUGUACUUUUUUGGUCAUUUUAUUACACUGACUGCAAAAAUGUUUAUGCUACAAGAUAAGUGUACAGAGCCAUGACAGCAGACGACAGCCUUUCCCUCCAAAGCAUGCAGUGCACUGCACCUGCUUUAGUUAUCAGUGUUAAAUUGAUUAUUAGCCAACAACUGAUUACAUCAAUUUAAGAUAUCAUUUAUUAAUUAGUCAUUAAUCAUGAGGAAGUAAAUCAAGAGAUAACCUGGUCUGCAAACUGGUCCACACUGCUUCACCUGUGUGUCUACCUGAUGGAAAUGCUGCAGGUUUUUAACAUGAUCUCCUUCACUUGAUGCUGAAGCUGUGGUCCACACACCGGGCUCUCCUUCAUCUAGGCUACUUGCUCUACAGGAUAAGGUGAAGGAGAGCUGUCACUAUAUUCACUCUGCCUGUGAUUCUGUGAUUCAUUGCCAAAUAAAUAUAAUCUCUUUGAGUAUCUAUCUAUCUAUCUAUUUAUCCUUUAAUUAGAAUUUAAGUAGCAUUUAACCAGUUGUGCAUGUGCUUUGUAGUGGCUUUAUAUCUCUGAUACUGCCUCAAAUCUUUAAUAGAGCAUGAAAUAAAGCAACAUGUAUGAAGCAUAUAUUAUCAGAAUGUGGCCCCUGAAGAUGUUCCAGCUAUUGGAGAAUCUGGAACAAACAGACUGAUAGGAGGCAGAAGUCUGCCAUCUAGUGAUCUAUGCUGAAAUGGCUUGUAAACUGCACUGUGUUCGAAUCUGUUUAAAUUGCAUUAAACCGACGUGUCAGAUAUUUCCAAUAUUCUCACAUUAAUGCAACAAUGCACAGUUGCCAUGAGGGAAUGUUCUUUAGGAAGUACUCUUGGCAAGACAGCUAGUGUUAUUUUAUACUAUAAAAACAAGUGUACAAGGGUGGGGACGAAAUUCAAUGACUAACCUUUGCUAUUACAUGUACUGCAUGUGUUAAAGACACAGCAAGUUUACAUCAUGUCUGUUUUCUUCAAACUACAAACCAUGCAUGUCAGGAAGUUUUAAAUAUAUUAGUUUGUUUCUCUAAAAACUGUUUUAUGAACUCUGCAUUUCUGUCAUUCUGCUCAUUAUUUCAAGUCAAAACACCUCAAGUUAGAACGACUCAUGUAAAAAAUUCUGAAGUGGUAUGAAAGUAAAAACUAGAACUUUCACGUUGAAUUCACCAGUGAGGAAAUAUUAGAUGGUUAACUUAAUUCCUGUAGGAUGUUUUGCAGUGUGGGGCUAGAUAGUUUGUGACUAUUACCGACCUAUCAUGGAAAAAGUAAUAAUACUGAAUGAUGUAGUUUGACAGUGCUAAAAUGAUGAUGGUACUGACCCCACAUUAGUGGUACCUUGGUAAGAACUAUGGCACCGCUGAUUUGUUAAUGUUAGUACUUUUCUACCGUCCCAACUGGCUCUCUCAUUCAUGGUAUUAUAUUGUUGUACACCAAGUUAUUGCACUCUUGCAAGUUAACAUAGCACUGUUAUCAUAGCACUGUAUUGUUACUCUCCAAUUCCCAUAACACUUCUUUCUAACACUUCCUUCUAAAUUCAAUUAAUAAUUUAUU